UGCCAGCCGCCGCGGUAAUACGAAGGGGGCUAGCGUUGUUCGGAAUUACUGGGCGUAAAGCGCAUGCAGGCGGAUCGCUAAGUCAGGGGUGAAAGCCCGAGGCUCAACCUCGGAACUGCCUUUGAUACUGGCGAUCUCGAGUCCGGGAGAGGUGAGUGGAACUCCGAGUGUAGAGGUGAAAUUCGUAGAUAUUCGGAAGAACACCAGUGGCGAAGGCGGCUCACUGGCCCGGUACUGACGCUGAGAUGCGAAAGCGUGGGGAGCAAACAGGAUUAGAUA
This 279-nucleotide ribosomal RNA is filed under the name uncultured bacterium. RNAcentral's name for it is "partial 16S ribosomal RNA". It matches the Rfam family "Bacterial small subunit ribosomal RNA", at positions 506 to 784 of the family's 1533-position model. The record is from RNAcentral.